This 440-nucleotide ribosomal RNA is filed under the name uncultured bacterium. RNAcentral describes it as "partial 16S ribosomal RNA". It matches the Rfam family "Bacterial small subunit ribosomal RNA", at positions 338 to 795 of the family's 1533-position model. The record is from RNAcentral.
CCUACGGGUGGCAGCAGUGGGGAAUAUUGCACAAUGGGCGAAAGCCUGAUGCAGCGACGCCGCGUGAGUGAAGACGCAUUUCGGGAUUGAAAACCUGUUCAGCAGGGCAGAAAAUGACGGUACCCGUUGAGGAAGCACCGGCUAACUACGUGCCAGCAGCCGCGGUAAUACGCAGGGUGCCAGCGUUAUCCGGAUUUAGUGGGCGUAAAGCGUGCGUAGGCGGGAUAGCAAGUCCGAAGUGAAAUGCUCGGGCUUAACCCUAGAAGUGCAUUGGAAACUGGUUUGCUAGAGUGCACGAGAGGUAGGUGGAAUGCGUGGUGUAGCGGUGAAAUGCGUAGAUAUUAAGAGGAACACCGAUGGCGAAGGCGGCUUACUGGAGCUUAACUGACGCUGAGGCACGAAAGCGUGGGGAGCAAACAGGAUUAGAUACCCGAGUAGUC